AUCACCAUUCACCAAAAUGCUUUAGUAGACUUGGUUUUAUGUUCCUAUUUCCUACCUAUAAUUUAUAUCAUAAAACUCUAUCCGGUUGUGGUUGAUAUGUGUUAUGACAUCAAGAUAGAUUUACUAUGCAUAUGAUUACCAUCAUGCAUGAAUCCUAAAUUUAGUUAUAAAAACACUAAAACUAUUAUUACACAAGCUGUCGUGGGGAGUAUAGAAAUGAAAUAAAGACCACAUCCUGAGGCCUAUGAAUCAAAGCUAGGACAACUGAUUUGUGAAGAAUUUUGUUCACAUGCAUGACUUGGCUAGUUGGCAAGCAGUUGAGUAUUCAUCUAGAAAUUUACUUGAUGAACUCUAGGUGAUGGGAUACUCAAAUUUUGCUUGAAUACGACCAUGGACUAAACUAACUCUUGGAAUGAUAAAAAAGAAAAUGUAGGUAGAACCUUUAGAAUAAAUCAAGGCUUGGGGAGGAGAACUCACCAAUUUUCGAGAUACUUUCGUCCUUCUAAUACAAAAGCUUGCCUUAUCUAUAGAGUGUGUUUAUUUGUUCUAGUCCUUUCUUUUUGGUUUUAUA
This 571-nucleotide unclassified non-coding RNA is filed under the name Hevea brasiliensis (rubber tree). The record is from RNAcentral. Lineage: Eukaryota; Viridiplantae; Streptophyta; Magnoliopsida; Malpighiales; Euphorbiaceae.